RNAcentral lists this ribosomal RNA (164 nucleotides) under Chionochloa frigida. Its description in RNAcentral is "5.8S ribosomal RNA". It matches the Rfam family "5.8S ribosomal RNA". Rfam says of the family: 5.8S ribosomal RNA (5.8S rRNA) is a component of the large subunit of the eukaryotic ribosome. It is transcribed by RNA polymerase I as part of the 45S precursor that also contains 18S and 28S rRNA. Lineage: Eukaryota; Viridiplantae; Streptophyta; Magnoliopsida; Poales; Poaceae. RNAcentral also lists the same sequence under 3 other names. The record is from RNAcentral.
CACAUGACUCUCGGCAACGGAUAUCUCGGCUCUCGCAUCGAUGAAGAACGUAGCAAAAUGCGAUACCUGGUGUGAAUUGCAGAAUCCCGCGAACCAUCGAGUUUUUGAACGCAAGUUGCGCCCGAGGCCUUCUGGCCGAGGGCACGCCUGCCUGGGCGUCACGC